This is a long non-coding RNA of Nomia melanderi (Alkali bee), 525 nucleotides long. RefSeq lists it as uncharacterized. The record is from RefSeq and is a predicted model, not a curated record. NCBI's taxonomy places the organism in Eukaryota, Metazoa, Arthropoda, Insecta, Hymenoptera, Halictidae.
CGAAGUCAAAUUAAUUUCGUUGGCCGAGUUCAUUGAUGUUGACACGUUGCAGAGAUUUGACAAGUUAUUCCAGAACUUCCAGUUCCCCGGGCAACAGGAACUCUGAAAAUUCAAUUGAAGAUACGGCGCGGCUGAAAGGGUAGUUUCGAAGGCGUUCUCCAAAGAUACUUCGUCCGACCUGUCCAUUUUAUCUAGAAUAAGCCAACAUUCGAGGCAAAAGGAAAAUUCAUAUUCUCGCUUGAAAAUCUGCUUUAACUCUAAGGAGAGCAUUACUAUUGAGCAAUUAUCGAACAUUUUCAUACAAAUGAUUAUACAGAAACGACGAAUGGUUUAAAAGCGACUUCUUCGUUCACUUUCGUAAUUUAGCAGCAACUGAACAACCCGAAAGAUUACUGUCAGAUCGAGCACUACUUCUGAACUGUCUUAGCACUAACUCGGAAAUGUCAAACAAGCAGACUGUUAAAGCACUCUGAUAGGCUGUUAGAAAUCGGGGUAGAUGUGUGGUUGGAGAACGGCCGAGUUGUG